UUCCAAAAAAGCGUAGUGGUUAUCAUGUUUGCCUCACACGCAAAAGGUCCCCGGUUUGAAACUAGGCAGAAA
Molecule: non-coding RNA, 72 nt
Organism: Pangasianodon gigas (Mekong giant catfish)
Lineage: Eukaryota; Metazoa; Chordata; Actinopteri; Siluriformes; Pangasiidae
Source: the annotation of a GenBank genome assembly